AAUUUCCCAUUACCAUAAAUCAAACUUACCUACCUCCAUCUCUCUCUAGGUUUCCGUACCAAUAUUUCCAUUCUCCAAGUUUAGAUUCUUUCAUCAAUUUUGCUUCUUUUCUCAUUUUCUCCAAUUUUAUUUUUAUUUUCCUUACCGACUUCCAUCAAUUAUUACUUUAAAUUUUAAAAAAAUCGGUUCCAAUCAUUUGUUUGCUGCGUGAUUUCAUCUCUAUUUGGAGGAUAACAUAGAAAAACACAGAUAUCCUAUUCACAAUCUCGAUUUCUGUUUGAUUUCAAAGUGAACCGGUGCACAAAAUGUUGUAUUUUUCUACCAACUUCCAUCCAAAUUUAUCUCGAAAGGUAUGGAGUGUUAUGAUUUCAGGAGAAGAUGUUGCAGUUCUUAGACAGGCUGAAACAUUUGCUUUCCGCUAUUGUAAGUUGUUGUGACUGUGAGAUAUACAAGCAACCAAGGGGCCUAGAAAGUCCUGAAGCUCUAGCGAGGGAAACAGUGUGUAUGUCAUCUUAAUUUUUGAAUUUUAUCAAUUUCUUCAAGUGCAAGUCAGCAUCAUCUUCUGUAUUGUUUCAUAUUCUAUUCGAAUGGAGAUGGUAUCCAUGUGAAUGCCAGCGAAACUAGUGCAAGAUGCUUUGAGAUUUUUUUGGUUUAUGUAAUUAAAUAUGGUUGCAUCUUCCAUGUUUUA
Molecule: long non-coding RNA, 688 nt
Organism: Salvia miltiorrhiza (redroot sage)
Lineage: Eukaryota; Viridiplantae; Streptophyta; Magnoliopsida; Lamiales; Lamiaceae
Exons: 2
Source: RefSeq, a predicted model, not a curated record